CGGGGCGUAGCGCAGUCUGGUAGCGCGCCUGCUUUGGGAGCAGGAUGUCGCAAGUUUGAAUCUUGCCGUCCGACCA
This 76-nucleotide transfer RNA is filed under the name Candidatus Pacearchaeota archaeon. RNAcentral describes it as "tRNA-Pro". It matches the Rfam family "tRNA". Rfam says of the family: Transfer RNA (tRNA) molecules are approximately 80 nucleotides in length. Their secondary structure includes four short double-helical elements and three loops (D, anti-codon, and T loops). The record is from RNAcentral. Lineage: Archaea; Nanobdellati.